RNAcentral lists this ribosomal RNA (440 nucleotides) under uncultured bacterium. RNAcentral describes it as "partial 16S ribosomal RNA". It matches the Rfam family "Bacterial small subunit ribosomal RNA", at positions 338 to 795 of the family's 1533-position model. The record is from RNAcentral.
CCUACGGGAGGCAGCAGUAGGGAAUAUUGCUCAAUGGGGGAAACCCUGAAGCAGCAACGCCGCGUGGAGGAUGAAGGUUUUCGGAUUUUAAACUCCUUUUGUUAGAGAAGAUAAUGACGGUAUCUAACGAAUAAGCACCGGCUAACUCCGUGCCAGCAGCCGCGGUAAUACGGAGGGUGCAAGCGUUACUCGGAAUCACUGGGCGUAAAGAGCGCGUAGGCGGGAUAGCAAGUCAGAUGUGAAAUCCUAUGGCUUAACCAUAGAACUGCAUUUGAAACUGUUAUUCUAGAGUAUGGGAGAGGUAGGUGGAAUUCUUGGUGGAGGGGUAAAAUCCGUAGAGAUCAAGAGGAAUACUCAUUGCGAAGGCGACCUGCUAGAACAUAACUGACGCUGAUGCGCGAAAGCGUGGGGAGCAAACAGGAUUAGAUACCCCUGUAGUC